UUUAUGGAGAGUUUGAUCCUGGCUCAGGAUGAACGCUGGCGGCGUGCCUAAUACAUGCAAGUCGAGCGAACGGACGAGAAGCUUGCUUCUCUGAUGUUAGCGGCGGACGGGUGAGUAACACGUGGAUAACCUACCUAUAAGACUGGGAUAACUUCGGGAAACCGGAGCUAAUACCGGAUAAUAUUUUGAACCGCAU
RNAcentral lists this ribosomal RNA (196 nucleotides) under Staphylococcus aureus. RNAcentral's name for it is "partial 16S ribosomal RNA". It matches the Rfam family "Bacterial small subunit ribosomal RNA", at positions 1 to 191 of the family's 1533-position model. Lineage: Bacteria; Bacillati; Bacillota; Bacilli; Caryophanales; Staphylococcaceae. The record is from RNAcentral.